GAAAUGCGAUAAUUAAUGUGAAUUGCAGAAUUCAGUGAAUCAUCGAGUCUUUGAACGCACAUUGCGCCCCCUGGUAUUCCGGGGGGCAUGCCUGUCCGAGCGUCAUUGCUGCCCUCAAGCACGGCUUGUGUGUUGGGCUUCCGUCCCUGGCAACGGGGACGGGCCCAAAAGGCAGUGGCGGCACCAUGUCUGGUCCUCGAGCGUAUGGGGCUUUGACACCCGCUCCCGUAGGUCCAGCUGGCAGCUAGCCUCGCAACCAAUCUUUUUAACCAGGUUGACCUCGGAUCAGGUAGGGAUACCCGCUGAACUUAAGC
This 314-nucleotide unclassified non-coding RNA is filed under the name plant metagenome. RNAcentral describes it as "partial contains 5.8S ribosomal RNA, internal transcribed spacer 2, and large subunit ribosomal RNA". The stretch from base 1 to 105 matches the Rfam family "5.8S ribosomal RNA", at positions 50 to 154 of the family's 154-position model. The record is from RNAcentral.